This 107-nucleotide small nuclear RNA is filed under the name Cavia aperea (Brazilian guinea pig). Lineage: Eukaryota; Metazoa; Chordata; Mammalia; Rodentia; Caviidae. The record is from RNAcentral.
GUGCUCACCUCAGCAGCAUAUAUACUAAAAUUGGAAUGAUACAGAGAAGAUUGGCAUGGCCCCUGGCCAAGCAUGACAUGCAAAUUCAUGAAGUGUUUCAUAUUUAU